AUUGAACGCUGGCGGCAGGCCUAACACAUGCAAGUCGAACGAGUGGCGGACGGGUGAGUAAUUUCUUGGAAACUGCCUGAUGGAGGGGGAUAACUACUGGAAACGGUAGCUAAUACCGCAUACCAUCAGAUGUGCCCAGAUGGGCUUGGCUAGUUGGUGGGGUAACGGCUCACCAAGGCGACGAUCCCUCGCUGGUCUGAGAGGAUGACCAGACACACUGGAACUGAGACACGGUCCAGACUCCGACGGGAGGCAGCAGUGGGGAAUAUUGCACAAUGGGCGCAAGCAUGAUGCAGCCAGGCCGCGUGGAUGAAGAAGGCCUUCGGGUUGUAAAGUACUUUCAGCGGGGAGGCGUUACCCGCAGAAGAAGCACCGGCGAACUCCGUGCCAGCCGCCGCGGUAAUAC
This 406-nucleotide ribosomal RNA is filed under the name uncultured bacterium. Its description in RNAcentral is "partial 16S ribosomal RNA". It matches the Rfam family "Bacterial small subunit ribosomal RNA", at positions 30 to 526 of the family's 1533-position model. The record is from RNAcentral.